This 655-nucleotide ribosomal RNA is filed under the name Eucnemidae sp. UPOL RK0346. RNAcentral describes it as "eukaryotic LSU rRNA". It matches the Rfam family "Eukaryotic large subunit ribosomal RNA", at positions 670 to 1259 of the family's 3401-position model. Lineage: Eukaryota; Metazoa; Arthropoda; Insecta; Coleoptera; Eucnemidae. The record is from RNAcentral.
GGAGUCUAACGUGUGCGCGAGUCAUUGGGACAAUUUGAACUAAACCUAAAGGCGAAAUUAAGGUGAAAGUACGCGUCGAGCGUGCUCAGGGAGGAUGGGUCGUCGAUGCGUCGCGGCCCCGCACUCCCGGUGCGUCUCGUUCUCCGUAUCGCUCUUAACGGGGCGUUACGCGAGAUGAGGCGCAACUAGAGCGUACGCGGUGGGACCCGAAAGAUGGUGAACUAUGCCUGGUCAGGACGAAGUCAGGGGAAACCCUGAUGGAGGUCCGUAGCGAUUCUGACGUGCAAAUCGAUCGUAAGAACUGGGUAUAGGGGCGAAAGACUAAUCGAACCAUCUAGUAGCUGGUUCCCUCCGAAGUUUCCCUCAGGAUAGCUGGCGCUCGCUUGUGCGAGUCUCAUCCGGUAAAGCGAAUGAUUAGAGGCAUUGGGGUCGAAACGGCCUCAACCUAUUCUCAAACUUUAAAUGGGUGAGAUCUCCGGCUUGCUUGAAUGAUGAAGCCGCGAGAUCGGAUCAGAGUGCCAAGUGGGCCAUUUUUGGUAAGCAGAACUGGCGCUGUGGGAUGAACCAAAAGUCGAGUUAAAGCGCCAAAAUCGACGCUUAUGGGAUACCAUGAAAGGCGUUGGUAACUUAAGACAGCAGGACGGUGGCCAUGGAA